This is a long non-coding RNA of Felis catus (domestic cat), 3549 nucleotides long. RefSeq lists it as uncharacterized. Lineage: Eukaryota; Metazoa; Chordata; Mammalia; Carnivora; Felidae. The record is from RefSeq and is a predicted model, not a curated record. The transcript is spliced from 3 exons.
GCCCCAGCUAAGUCCACAUUCUUAACAGUAUCAUGCUAUACUUUCCUUUUCUCAGUCUUACUCUUGAUUUUUUUUUUUAUAGCAGAUGACAUUUUAAAGCCUUCUCUUUUCCUUUUGAAACUCUCACGUUUUAAAUGAAAUGCCAUGCUCUUCUGGUUCUCACCUACGUCCUCUUUCUGUUUCUAUUGUUGGUUUAUUUGAUCUCUUUUAGACCCUAGAAUGUGCCCCAAAGCUUAGUCUUUCUCCUCACCUUUGGAAAGAUUACCUAUGCUCAUGGCUUCGGUCAACCCUUCUAUGAUCUCAACAGAUUGUAAAUGCCAGACUCACAAAGACCAGAUCUGUCCUAUUUUGCAAGCUUCUUGCAGAGUGCGUGAUAUAUAGUCGAUUUUCAAUAACUAUUGUUGAAUGAAUGAAUGCGUGCCUAAAUGGGCGAGUCACUGAUCUGCUGAGAUUUUUCAGAUAAUCUUUUUCCAAAGUCUAGACAAAUAUUUCCUGCUACCUGUCAUUGCUAUGAAAUGGUGGUAAGAGUCUAGUAGACUGAUUGACAGUUUGCUGGGGCAGCCCUACCAUUUGGACUCUCAUCUUUUCCCAUUGAAGGCAGCUAUGUAGACUUUCUGUACGGGAGAAGAGAAGGUUGGUUCCUUCCGACGAUGUGAGUUGGAGCUUCCUUGAGAAGGUGUCAGUGCAGCUACUGGGUGGAGUCCUUGCUAAGUAGGCAUGGAUGAAGAAGGAUCACUGGAUCGAAAGCCACUGGUCGCUCAUUAGAAGGCACCGCAUCAGCCAGUCAGGGCAUUUGCCAACGAUUCUUGACAUAUUUUAUUGCUGGCCCACUUCUUUUGUCCAUCCAAAGCCGGUGACCAAAUUCAUCACUGGAUACUCUGCCCAUUGGAAGAAUGUUUGCCUCGCCACUGUCUUCGAAGGCCACCCUGGGUGGGAAGAGAGUGCAGCUGCUGGCCAUUUUUGGCUUUUAUCCACGUACUGAGUAGACCUAUGCAUAGAGCAAGCCCAGGCUUUUUCCUUCUCUGUCAGUUGGUUGGUCUUCUGGGUGAUGCGACCCAAGCACUGUCACUGCUUGCACCACGAUCUGGAGCUGCUGCAGAAUUCUUUCCUGCUCUGGGACCCGCUCAAAGCUGGCAGCCUUCCGAGACCCUCAGUAUAUAGACUGGAACAGUAUUUCCAUGUGUGGAAUAUGUUGCCUCCAGAACCCAAAGGAAUCUCCUGGGCAUCCUUUUUAGUAGGAUGACCAAGAUGUAAUCAUUUGUCUUUCACUCUGGAUGAGAUAUCCUAACAUAUCUCUAACUAUUGGACCUCUAAGUUUUCCCCUCAUGGGUCAAGCCCCAGAGUCUAGUUUAUCUCCCAGUCCCCGGAUAGACGUUAGCUACUUCUUGCUCCUUGAGCUCAGUUAAUAUAAUGUCAUCAAUGUAGCGGAUGAAUAUCGUGUUGUGAGAUAGAGAAAUCGAUGGCUCCCUACCAUGUACCUAAGGCUUUGUUAAUUCUCUCUAGCAGGGAUGCUGUAUCUGGUAUGGCAGGUGCAGUUGGGUUUGUGAUCAUCUGUUAUCAUCUUCCAAGAGAUCUGCCUGAUUUUUGCAGGGGAACAAGCCGGUGAAUUAAGUGGAGACAAUAUGGGGGCUCCCCACCAAUGCCUCUUUUGGAUCCUUAAGGGUAGCAUUAAUUUCUCUUAUCCCUCUAAGGAGAUGAAUUUGGUUUUUAUUUAGCAUCUUGGCCGGGGGCAGGACAGGAGCAAGUGGUCGUUUCAAAGGCUGCUCCUUGGCCUUCUGCAUUAUGACAGAUGUUACCUCACAGGCCAAGGAUCCAAUGUGGGGAUUGUACCACCACCAACCACGUCUACUCCACUUACACAUUUGGAAAUGACUGGUAGGUGGGUCCAUGGACUUAUGGGCCCACUGUGAGCCAGAGUUUGGUCAACAGUCCGUUUAUAACUUGACUCCCUCUGACCUCACUCUAACAGAGGAUCGUGAUGACACUUUGGGUCUCCAUCUAUCAGUGUCAUCUCAGACCCCCUGUCUAGCAGUUCUUGAAUGCGUGGGUGUACCCGCUUUGCCCAGGAAAAUAAAUGAACUCUUAUUACCAGCUUUAUGUCUCAGCCUUCGGUCUUUAGGACCUGUAGCUGGGUGUCGUGGCUUCCUUUGGGUCCCUUUCCUCUCUUAUGGUGCCUAGGACCAUCUUGGCUGGAUCAUCCCACAACUCCAUCCUAGUUACGCACCUCAUGGCCAGAAAGAGAGGUGGGAACUGAUCUUGAGGGAUAUUGUUUUGAGGGGGAGAGGCAGGCAGGAGGGCUUGCUCCUAAUAGGAAGCAGACUUGAAUUCUGCAGGCUCGUUACGUUCAGGGAAUCUGGGAAUUAAAGAUUUUCAGGGACAUCAAGGAUGAUUUCUAUGCUGAUUUCCCAUCCGCUAUAUCCAGGUCUGGUUUUUUUCCCGACAAGAACCUUGGCCUUGUUAUGGCAGACUGGCCUGAGUUGGGAGUUGAACCUUCUUUGCAUCUCAGAUCCUCUGCUAAUUAAAACCUGAGCCUAUUCCUCAGCCUUCUUGGCUCUUCUCCUGCAGGAGGUGAGGGUGCCUUGGUUGCCAAAGGGAGCCUCUGACUUUCACUGUUGGCUUUUAGCUGCCCAUUAAUCACCGUCACCGGAGCAACAGUCACAGUGGCCAUCCAACCCACUGUCCUUGUAGUGACUACUGUGUCCAUCAUUUUCAAAAGCCUGAUAAACUGUGUGUGCUAGUGUUUUCCCUUCCUUAGUAUAUUAUUCCAGUCUACCAUUGGUGGAAGUCUUCCCAGUUGGGCCGUCCCCUUCUGCCAGGGGCUAUCAACUCCGCCUAUCACUCCCCCGAUGCCAGCUUAGGGAUAAGAGAUUCAGCUCCCAAAUUCUAUUUUAUACCUGCUUUCUCAGACUACUCUUGCGACUUCCACAAGCUGAGGAGCCCAGGAAGCGGACCCUGAGACCAAGUUCAGUAUACAGGCUAUUUGAUGGUGUCCUUGGGAUCAACACGUGUGGAUAGGGUGACCAAUGUAUUCUGGUUUUCCUGGGACAUUUUGAUUGUAGCACUGAAAAUCCAGCCUCCUAGAGACGCCCUGUGUCCUUGGAAAACCAGGACGAUUAGCAACCCGAUCUGUAGAAGGGAGGAUGCAGAAUCAGGGUUGAACGGAGGGAUAAGUCAAGCUGGAACGCAAGCCUGAUGGCCUCAGCUGGCCCCGUGGAGAAAGAAUUCUUGAAUUAAGUUGGCCCAUCAGAAAUGUCCAGUAUCAGGCUGACUGGGUCUGCUUCCUCAGUCAUUAGAUGUGGGCUGGCCUUGGGAGAGCAGCUCUAUUGCGGAGACAAUCUCUGAAUGGGGCUAACAGCUAAAGGCUGCCUGUGGACAGCACUCCUAUGGGCUGGGGCAACAAGUCCUUCCCUGGAAAGGGAUCUGGGGCUGCAUGCCUGUGUCCAAUACAAAUUUAUGUAAACAUAUUCAUAUAUCUGCAUAAACAUCCGUGGAGGGACGCACAAGACCUUUGUAUCAGUGGUUGCCUCCAAAGAGAGACAACCAGGCAAC